CAGCAGCCGCGGGAAUACGUAGGGUGCGAGCGUUAAUCGGAAUUACUGGGCAUAAAGCGUGCGCAGGCGGUUCGUUAAGACAGAUGUGAAAUCCCCGGGCUUAACCUGGGAACUGCAUUUGUGACUGGCGAGCUAGAGUAUGGCAGAGGGGGGUAGAAUUCCACGUGUAGCAGUGAAAUGCGUAGAGAUGUGGAGGAAUACCGAUGGCGAAGGCAGCCCCCUGGGCCAAUACUGACGCUCAUGCACGAAAGCGUGGGGAGCAAACAGGAUUAGAUACCCCUGUAGUCCCUGUCUCUUAUAC
RNAcentral lists this ribosomal RNA (301 nucleotides) under uncultured bacterium. RNAcentral's name for it is "partial 16S ribosomal RNA". It matches the Rfam family "Bacterial small subunit ribosomal RNA", at positions 509 to 807 of the family's 1533-position model. The record is from RNAcentral.